RNAcentral lists this ribosomal RNA (958 nucleotides) under Mycolicibacterium mucogenicum. RNAcentral describes it as "bacterial SSU rRNA". It matches the Rfam family "Bacterial small subunit ribosomal RNA", at positions 61 to 1037 of the family's 1533-position model. The record is from RNAcentral. Lineage: Bacteria; Bacillati; Actinomycetota; Actinomycetes; Mycobacteriales; Mycobacteriaceae.
GUCGAACGGAAAGGCCCUUCGGGGUACUCGAGUGGCGAACGGGUGAGUAACACGUGGGUGAUCUGCCCUGCACUUUGGGAUAAGCCUGGGAAACUGGGUCUAAUACCGAAUAGGACCACGCGCUUCAUGGUGUGUGGUGGAAAGCUUUUGCGGUGUGGGAUGGGCCCGCGGCCUAUCAGCUUGUUGGUGGGGUAAUGGCCUACCAAGGCGACGACGGGUAGCCGGCCUGAGAGGGUGACCGGCCACACUGGGACUGAGAUACGGCCCAGACUCCUACGGGAGGCAGCAGUGGGGAAUAUUGCACAAUGGGCGCAAGCCUGAUGCAGCGACGCCGCGUGAGGGAUGACGGCCUUCGGGUUGUAAACCUCUUUCACCAGGGACGAAGCGUAAGUGACGGUACCUGGAGAAGAAGCACCGGCCAACUACGUGCCAGCAGCCGCGGUAAUACGUAGGGUGCGAGCGUUGUCCGGAAUUACUGGGCGUAAAGAGCUCGUAGGUGGUUUGUCGCGUUGUUCGUGAAAACUCACAGCUUAACUGUGGGCGUGCGGGCGAUACGGGCAGACUAGAGUACUGCAGGGGAGACUGGAAUUCCUGGUGUAGCGGUGGAAUGCGCAGAUAUCAGGAGGAACACCGGUGGCGAAGGCGGGUCUCUGGGCAGUAACUGACGCUGAGGAGCGAAAGCGUGGGGAGCGAACAGGAUUAGAUACCCUGGUAGUCCACGCCGUAAACGGUGGGUACUAGGUGUGGGUUCCUUCCUUGGGAUCCGUGCCGUAGCUAACGCAUUAAGUACCCCGCCUGGGGAGUACGGCCGCAAGGCUAAAACUCAAAGGAAUUGACGGGGGCCCGCACAAGCGGCGGAGCAUGUGGAUUAAUUCGAUGCAACGCGAAGAACCUUACCUGGGUUUGACAUGCACAGGACGCCGGCAGAGAUGUCGGUUCCCUUGUGGCCUGUGUGCAG